RNAcentral lists this ribosomal RNA (406 nucleotides) under uncultured bacterium. Its description in RNAcentral is "partial 16S ribosomal RNA". It matches the Rfam family "Bacterial small subunit ribosomal RNA", at positions 30 to 526 of the family's 1533-position model. The record is from RNAcentral.
AUUGAACGCUGGCGGCAGGCCUAACACAUGCAAGUCGAACGAGUGGCGGACGGGUGAGUAAUGUCUGGGAAACUGCCCGAUGGAGGGGGAUAACUACUGGAAACGGUAGCUAAUACCGCAUACCAUCGGAUGAGCCCAGAUGGGAUUAACUAGUAGGUUGGGUAAUGGCUCACCUAGGCGACGAUCCCUAGAUGGUCUGAUAUGAUGACCAGCCACACUGGAACUGAGAAACGGUGCAGACGCCUACUGGAGGCAUCAGGGGGGAAUAUUGCACAAUGGGCGCAAGCCUGAUGCAGCCAUGCCGCGUGUAUGAAGAAGGCCUGCGGGUUGUAAAGUACUUUCAGCGGGGAGGCGUUACCCGCAGAAGAAGCACCGGCUAACUCCGUGCCAGCAGCCGCGGUAAUUC